AACCCUGGGCAACAGACAAGGAGACACCUUGUUGGUGGUGUUGAUCUUAAAUCUAUCAGUCAGGGGCAGAGCAGAUGGCAGUCCUUUGUUCAUCCUAGCUCGAUGCCUGGCUUGGUGGCCAAAGCUGUUCCAUGCCUAAGGCACAUUU
Molecule: small nucleolar RNA, 148 nt
Organism: Chionomys nivalis (European snow vole)
Lineage: Eukaryota; Metazoa; Chordata; Mammalia; Rodentia; Cricetidae
Product: small nucleolar RNA SNORA48
Exons: 1
Source: RefSeq, a predicted model, not a curated record